GAUGAAGAACGCAGCGAAAUGCGAUACGUAAUGUGAAUUGCAGAAUUCAGUGAAUUAUCGAAUCUUUGAACGUAUAUUGCGCUCUCUGGUAUUCCGGAGAGCAUGCUUGUUUGAGUAUCAGUAAACACCUCAACUUCCAUAUCUUUUUUGAAAUGGGAGUUGGACUUGAGUGAUCCCAACGCUUUUCCUCACCGAAAAGUGGCGGGUUACUUGAAAUGCAGGUGCAGCUGGACUUUUCUCUGAGCUAUAAGCAUAUCUAUUUAGUCUGCCUAAAAAACAGAUUAUUACCUUUGCUGCAGCUAACAUAAAGGAGAUUAGUUCUUGUGCUGACUGAUGCAGGAUUCACAAAGACAGCUUCGGCCGACUUUGUAAACUCGAUCUCAAAUCAAGUAAGACUACCCGCUGAACUUAAGCAUAUCAAUAAGCGGAGGA
Molecule: unclassified non-coding RNA, 432 nt
Filed under: soil metagenome
Description: partial contains 5.8S ribosomal RNA, internal transcribed spacer 2, and large subunit ribosomal RNA
Rfam family: 5.8S ribosomal RNA (bases 1-120)
Source: RNAcentral